CCUUGUACACACCGCCCGUCACACCAUGGAAGCAAGCAACACCCGAAGCCGGUGGCCUAACCCGCAAGGGAGGGAGCCGUCGAAGGUGGGGCUCGUGACUGGGGUG
This 106-nucleotide ribosomal RNA is filed under the name uncultured bacterium. RNAcentral's name for it is "partial 16S ribosomal RNA". It matches the Rfam family "Bacterial small subunit ribosomal RNA", at positions 1379 to 1482 of the family's 1533-position model. The record is from RNAcentral.